Molecule: long non-coding RNA, 4880 nt
Organism: Lates calcarifer (barramundi perch)
Lineage: Eukaryota; Metazoa; Chordata; Actinopteri; Centropomidae
Exons: 2
Source: RefSeq, a predicted model, not a curated record
AUCAAACGAUCACCUUUCAUGUUGAAGUUGUUUGUUGAUAACAAAAUGUCGCAUUGUGCAUUUGCUGCUAACCUCUUUUACAUCUACAUUGUUCCCAACAGGGUGCUUUGGAUUGUCAACCAUUGUGCGUCUCUUGAAACUCAAAGCCACCCGCUAGCUUUGCUAAGGUUAACGUCGCAAUGCUAAUCUUGAGUUGUCAUUUAUGUAGGCUUACCUAACAAAGCUAGUGACUUUGGUUAAUUCUUAAUAUGCCCAUGCUUAGUUAACAUUAGAUAGUUCAUUGAAUUAUUGCUACUAGCCUUUCUGCCUCAACGACCGACGGCAAAGACUAGUCAAGACUAGAUAGCUAUGUGAUGACGACUGCUCAAGUUAGCUUUGGCGUUAGCUUAGCCAGGUUAUUUAAGUUUACUGCUUUAUCCGAAUGGAAAGGACUGAGCAUUAACUCAUGCGAACUGAUCAGGAAAUUGAAUUGAACAUCUCAUUAUCUCCGUGCUUAUUGUGUAGCAGUCGUUUAAAAUAUCAGUGUUUAAAAUUCGUUUUCUGUUCAUCCCCCACACAAUUAGCCGCGUAUUAGCUUGCUGCACUUAGCAGGAGGUUUAAAAGUUGGAUUGAUUCUCCGCUUUUCUGCAAGGUGCCACAUGACAUGAUAUAGGGAUUAUUGGUGUUAGAAGCAGCGAGUGAUAGUUUUAUAUAGAGUUAUUUAAUGUAGCUUGAAUACAGUCAUUAACCAGAGACCAUGCAUUGACGCUGACGAGCAAACUGUUGCUGCUGUUGUACAACCAAAUUUGCCAGCUGUCAAAUCGGUGGAGCGACAUCUAAUUUAAUGCAAAUCAUCUUACGCUGGUAACCGCUUUUUCUCACAAUUUAAGUGACCAUUGGAAACCAAGAUCAGCUGGUUAACUUCCUUAUUGCUCAAAGGAAUGACACAAGGUCACAUGAUAAUCACAUGAUGAGACUUCUGACUUGGAGUUGCCAUUUGGCUACUGAUCUGGAGCUUCUUUAAUAUAAAAGUAAAGGUUAACAAGUUUUCUCUCUUUUAAAGAAAAUAAGGCUAAUUUUACAGAAAAUUAUGAGCUUAACACUUCUGUUUAUCAGUGUUCAGGGAUGGUAAAUGGGAAGUGGCACAGAAAGUGAACUUUGAAACUGACUUGUUUUGUAAUUGGUCAUACUUGUUUUAUAGACCCUUUCGUAUUUUUAUUUGUCUUCCCAUAAUCCAAGGGAAGAACUGCAUCAUAUGCCAGCAGUACACUGUAACAAACUAAAUGUCUACAUGUGACUAGGCUGAUUGGUAGAGUGUGUGCAACUUCAGUGUGACAUCAACAAGCUACUAACUUGACCAUGUUGCAGAGGUUUUGACCUGUUGUAGCCUGAGGCCUUUUGGUGGAACGGGCUCAUUUAUGGUGGUGAAUGGUACACAGGAUUUCAUUUCAUUCAAUUCCUGUAGUGCAACACUGUAAAAUCUACUUAAAAAUUAUUUUCCUGUUGUAAUGUAAUCUUGGAUUUCAUCCUCACCUAUUUUAUCAUGGCUUUUAACAAAUUGUAUUGGAUUUCAUAAUAAUGACAAAUCUUAGAAGUCAUUUUGAGCUGGAGAUUUUAUUUGAGAAAUUUCUGGGAGAGAUCUGACCCGGUAACUGCUGUUUGGGAUAUUACCUUAGCCGUCACAAUAAGGUAUUGCAGGUCAUGACAUAAAAUUGUCCCAUGAUACAAAAAUAUAAAAUUAUAUUGUCAUGCCCUACCCAGAAAUGAGAAGCAGCUGGAUACCAGAGCCAACCCUGUUCUUGUCAUACCUCAGGUUUGAUGUGUAGCGAUGGGAAAGGGCAGCAUGGUGGUUGUGGUGUCCCUUGAGGCUAGCAGCAGCAGUACUAGUCUGUGGUGGUGAAGGAGUGACAGCUGGGGAAUUAGCUAGUAAGAAAGGGAUCAUGCCGGUACAAAGAAGGGAUGUGGUAGUGGUGGGAUGGACAGGGAGACUUGAUGAUUCAGGCUUCAGCUUGAAGGAUCUCAGUCUGUUGUAGAGUCACUGACAGGAAAUUGCAGCAUGCAGUCACUGUGGUCUACACAAGCUGAACAGCUAUGGACACAAUUAAAGAUUGUCAUCAUCAGUCAUAUUUUUGGGUGUUAAGCUAACAUCCAGUCUGUAGAAUAUUUAAAAAAAAAAAAUAAUGACAAAUUUGCAUCACAAGUUCUCACCCAGGUGGAUGGCUUAAAAAGUCGUCUUCUGAUUAUGAGAAGAAAUUAAUUGUGUUUAAUUUAAAGUAAUUAGCCUGUUUUCUGGAACAGGCUUUAAGUUGCAGUGAUGUUGCAUUGUUUUAGUAGUCUGAUGACAGUUGUGAGGGCUACCUCUAGUGAUGCCUGGUGCUGAACAGGUGACACUCACAAGGUGUUAUUAUCCAUGGGGGAAGCACCACCACACGUGAUAGAUGUGCUGCAGUGGUUCUGAUUUUCCACUACUUUACAUACUCUCUUAUCUAGCAGCCCACAUUUUCUCCUCUCUUAGACCAUGAAUAAUUGGCAUGACUGAUAAAUUUACUCGUGGGGGUGCUGAUCACAAUUUAAGACGUGUGUUCUCUGCAGUUUGUGCUUUUCCAAUUUCCUGCAGUGGUAGGCAUGUAUGUUAAUAGGAUAGCAUACAAAAUAUUUGUCACAGAGGAACUUAUUUUCUUCUGAUUAGUCAUUAUUCUUUAUUAUGCUUUCAGCUGCUUGACCUUAAAUUCACAUUGUCUUUCUCUCACUCUUCAUUUAAGAGAUGGUUUGGUGGCAGUCAAUGCUCCAGACAUUCCUCAGCUUCAGAUGCAAUAGAUUGUGUUUCCCUAUUCGCCCACUACGCAGAGCGAAUCAAUGUCUUGUCUUCUGCGUGGGCAUUUUACAUGCAAGAUCAUCCCCAGCUGGAGGCACCUCCUGCUGUGACGUCACAAGGCGUCACAAGGGCAUCCCAUACAUCAAAUAUUCUGCAGUGAGGAAAAAAGAAAAGAAGGGAAAAAGCUCUUUACCUAAGCUGAGGGGAUUAGGAUUAAAUCCCAGAGGUUGUGCCACCACACCACUGCAGAAGCAGCCCUGCCACAACAUCAGACCUUUAAUUGUCACGACAGAAUGGCAGUGUUUGCGGAUUCCAGUGUUUCUGUCAGCCCUCAGCUGUCACACCUCAGUGAGGACAAGCUUACGAAGAAAGAAAGGAGUCAGAGGAUAAUGUUACUGAUGGUAACGUAUUACAAAUGGAUGGCUAAAAGAAACAGCUGUUCAGAGAAAGGUUUAGGUGUUUAGUUAAAUUUUUUUUGGAUUAAAAAAUAUCUUAGCUGAACUGCUUAGGUAGGUUGUGUAUCCUUCUCGUGACGUGCAAGUCAGUUUUCUUCAUGUGAUGUAUCAUAUAGUUUGUGUUGGACUGAAAAAGAUUAGCCCUCUAGCAGAGUAUGGCACUUCCACAAAGUGAAAACAAAGCAAGACAAUCUCAUGUGUCAGGGCUUGCAAAAACAGUGCCCACUUAUACUCAGGCACAUCUCUGUAGAUGGGCAGGAGUGAUUUAACCUUGUAUUGAUGUCAUCAGUCUGUUGAUAAAUCGAUGUAAGUAGUUGGGGACGUGGCUGGCUGCCAUGUGCACAUUUGAAGAUUGGCCCAUAUCAUCUUUCUUUCUGCCUCUAGAUUGAUUUGCCAAAUAGCCUUAAAGCUAGACUCUGGAGUAAAUCAGAACUAUCUCCAGGCUUUUGCUCGAUGCAUUGUCACAUUGAGAGAACACAGGGCAGGUACCUCAGGCUGUAUGCACAAGGCUGUCUUCCAAGAUGAUAUCUCUACAGACUUCAGAUUUAAUCAUCAUAAGUAUGUUGCCUAUGAAAAGCCAAGAAAACUACAUUGGAAGAUUCUUGUUUAGGCACCAAUGGUAUGAUGAGAUCAGCACAUAAAUGGUGGGUUACUGUUUUGCACGUUUUCUUUGUUGAUGUUGCUUUACAAGAGUUCAUCCUGUUACAUAAGAUAAACUGGCUGUUAAGCGACUAUUUUGACAUCCUCUCACAAAUGACAUAGUAACGGCAAGAUUUGACGUUUUUGGGUCAGUGCAAAGCACUAGAUACUAAUCUGAAAAAGGGAAACAUCCCCAACUGUUCUAGAAUAAAUUGAGUGAAAAUAUGUGAUAAAUACUGAAGCACAGCCAAAACCAUGACCCAUAUAGUGAGCAUGUACGGACCAAUAUAUUAGAUGCUCUGCUGCGGUCUGUUUCAUCUCCGAGCUUUCACUUAAUCUUGCUUUUGCUGUUGAUGAGCAAAUAGACAUGAUCACGUUUACACACACCCCCCUCUGACAUGAGCAGAUCUAGUCAAACCAGCCUCAUGACACACUGCCCUGCUCUGACAGGCUUUGCUGGAUGUCGCAAAAGAGUCUCUCUCAUUUCACCUUAAGGCUGUUCAACUUUUUGUUUCGCAGAAUUAUAACUAGUUCCUGAUGGAUGGUUGCUAUUCUAUUUUUGGGUUAUAUAUAGUUUCUAAUAUUAGAGCAGCCUGAUUAUUAAUUUUUCUGCUUCACUCUCCUGCUGUCAGACUUGUCUGUGUGUGUGUGUGUGUGAGAGAGAGAGACACAUCAGUGGCACUUUGCAUUCUCCUCAGCGUCACAGGCCAACGGAGCCAACAUGCUGAUGGAGCUUUUUAUUCUCCUCCUUCCCCCGCUACAUUUCAGUGAUACUGGCCAGAGACAAUUGCGGACUGGAGAUAGAGCACAGCAGAUGUCGCAUGAGUGUGUACUGCUGGCCCCGCCCCCCAAAUGUACCUGUUUUGUGCUAAUGUUGGCUCUGGAGAUGUGGUAUCCUGCGUCUCUUGUGACGUCAGCAGGUCCCCUGUGUACUAAAGCCUAAUGAGGCUUUUUCAUUCACAGACUGAUUUACAACACUGCAGCAGGGUCAA